RNAcentral lists this ribosomal RNA (497 nucleotides) under uncultured bacterium. Its description in RNAcentral is "partial 16S ribosomal RNA". It matches the Rfam family "Bacterial small subunit ribosomal RNA", at positions 28 to 507 of the family's 1533-position model. The record is from RNAcentral.
GAUGAACGCUGGCGGCGUGCCUAAUACAUGCAAGUCGAGCGAACAGACGAGGAGCUUGCUCCUCUGACGUUAGCGGCGGACGGGUGAGUAACACGUGGAUAACCUACCUAUAAGACUGGGAUAACUUCGGGAAACCGGAGCUAAUACCGGAUAAUAUAUUGAACCGCAUGGUUCAAUAGUGAAAGACGGAUUUGCUGUCACUUAUAGAUGGAUCCGCGCCGCAUUAGCUAGUUGGUAAGGUAACGGCUUACCAAGGCGACGAUGCGUAGCCGACCUGAGAGGGUGAUCGGCCACACUGGAACUGAGACACGGUCCAGACUCCUACGGGAGGCAGCAGUAGGGAAUCUUCCGCAAUGGGCGAAAGCCUGACGGAGCAACGCCGCGUGAGUGAUGAAGGUCUUCGGACCGUAAAACUCUGUUAUUAGGGAAGAACAAAUGUGUAAGUAACUAUGCACGUCUUGACGGUACCUAAUCAGAAAGCCACGGCUAACUACGUG